AUUCUUAUAAAGUGAUUAUAACUCAAUAAAGAUAUAGUACAAAAAUUAUUAUCUUUCCUUAAUUAUCCCUAAUGCAAGUAAUAUAGAGGUAAAUUAUGUCAUAUAUUAAUAAUCAAAUGGAUAUUAAUGUCUUCAUCAAUCAUCCAAGUAAAUGACAAGUCGGGUAUGUUUUAACUGAAGAAGAAAUCAUCGAUGCAAUUAGACAAGAAGAGAAAGGGGGUAAUCCUGAGGAUGACAGUACAUAAAUAUAAAAAGUUUCAUACCAGGAAGUUACAAACAUACUUGAGAUGCUAGAAAUAUUUUGGCUUCAACAACAAGAUGCCAAUGCUAAUCAAUUAAUACAUACCCGCAAGUUGAAAAAUGUGGUUGCAACUUUAAAGAAGAAAUCAUUGUUACAACCAACUUUAAAAGAUAUUUUGUUCUAUCUUAAUUAUUUAAUGUAACAUGGCUUAUAUUUUUAAGAUAUUAUUAUCAUGUGGAGGUAAGUUUAUUUAAGACGAGACCUACAAAAAAUAUAAUUUGUUAUAAUGUGAAAAUUUUUCUUAAUUAUAACUGGUUCCAAGUUGAGAUCACAAUUUUUUAUUAUUAUGAAGAGAUUAUUCUUAUAUAAAGUAUUCCUAUUUGGAGGUUCUACUGUACUUAUUAUAGUCAAGGAUAUAAAGAUAUUAAAAAAAAAUGUUGUCCAUACAUUUGAGCAAGCCUUAAAGGUAUCAAGGCCUUUUCCUCAUUUGAAAUGAUUAUUAUUCACACUCAAUAUAGAUUUUUCAUUGACUGCAUGACACAAGAUCUUUCUAUUAUAUGUGAACCCAAAACAAAAUCCUCGUAUGAAACAAAUACUAUCUACUAAUGCACACAAAAAUGCCAGGGAGUAAUUAAUUAGAAAAUGGUUAUCAUCUUUUUACUACUCUAACUAUGCCAAAAUAACAAAUGACUGUAACGUAUCACUUAAUUAUUGAAAGUAACAUUUUUACAUGUUAGCUAAGGGAAAAAAAAUUACUACAUCUAUAUAUGUUAGUACUAUAGUUAGUCAAAUGAUGGCCACACACAUAUAAUCUUACCCAAAAUUGUAAUAUAAUAUAUAAUCUA
RNAcentral lists this long non-coding RNA (1086 nucleotides) under Citrus x clementina. Its description in RNAcentral is "Citrus clementina (C. clementina) long non-coding RNA (CCLE_LNC001839)". The record is from RNAcentral. Lineage: Eukaryota; Viridiplantae; Streptophyta; Magnoliopsida; Sapindales; Rutaceae.